RNAcentral lists this ribosomal RNA (253 nucleotides) under uncultured bacterium. RNAcentral describes it as "partial 16S ribosomal RNA". It matches the Rfam family "Bacterial small subunit ribosomal RNA", at positions 524 to 776 of the family's 1533-position model. The record is from RNAcentral.
UACGAAGGGGGCUAGCGUUAAUCGGAUUUACUGGGCGUAAAGCGCGCGUAGGUGGCCAAUUAAGUCAAAUGUGAAAUCCCCGAGCUUAACUUGGGAAUUGCAUUCGAUACUGGUUGGCUAGAGUAUGGGAGAGGAUGGUAGAAUUCCAGGUGUAGCGGUGAAAUGCGUAGAGAUCUGGAGGAAUACCAAUGGCGAAGGCAGCCAUCUGGCCUAAUACUGACACUGAGGUGCGAAAGCAUGGGGAGCAAACAGG